AGGACGAACGCUGGCGGCGUGCUUAACACAUGCAAGUCGAGCGAGACCCCGCUUUCGGGUGGGUGUUCUAGCGGCGAACGGGUGAGUAACACGUGGGCAACCUGCCCUCAGCUCUGGGAUAACUCCAAGAAAUUGGGGCUAAUACCGGAUAUGACCGCUGACCGCAUGGUCUGGUGGUGGAAAGAUUUAUCGGCUGGGGGAUGGGCCCGCGGCCUAUCAGCUUGUUGGUGGGGUAGUGGCCUACCAAGGCGACGACGGGUAGCCGGCCUGAGAGGGUGACCGGCCACACUGGGGACUGAGACACGGCCCAGACUCCUACGGGAGGCAGCAGUGGGGGAAUAUUGCGCAAUGGGCGAAAGCCUGACGCAGCGACGCCGCGUGGGGGAUGACGGCCUUCGGGUUGUAAACCUCUUUCAGCAGGGACGAAGCGAAAGUGACGGUACCUGCAGAAGAAGCACCGGCCAACUACGUGCCAGCAGCCGCGGU
Molecule: ribosomal RNA, 486 nt
Filed under: uncultured bacterium
Lineage: Bacteria
Description: SSU rRNA
Rfam family: Bacterial small subunit ribosomal RNA
Source: RNAcentral